CUACAGAAUGUAAGAGGUACAGCCUUGACUAAUUUUGAGACUGAAGAAGACACAGAAUCGGUAGGAGCCAAGUGUGUGUGUGUGUGUGGUGGUGUUCCUAAGAAAGGUCUGGCAUGAGUCUCCCCAGGCAACACCAGCAGGGUGGCCAAUAAGAGCUGGGGACACGACAUUGACUGACUGUCUUCGCUGCUUCCGCAGUCAUUUCUAAGAUCUAAUGAUAAUCACCAAGGGUGCUCUUCUCUAACAAUGAGGGAUUUGUUGGUGGUGGUGGGGACAGAAACAUCCUCCUAUUUGCAUGGGAUUGAGGACCAUUUCCCUAGGGUGCCUUGAUCCCCAAAAGACUGCCAAGACUGUCUGGACCUGAAUCUCAGCCUCACAAACUGUGUGAUGUUGGGCAAGUUCCCUAACCUUUCUGUGCUUCGCUUCCCUCAUUAGUGAAAGCUUAUUGUAAGUACAGUUUCUUGUUCUCUGCCUCAGGGAAGAACCAUGUCUUACCUGGGGACCCCAGGGAUGACUUAACCCACUCAGCGGUAAGGCAGAUGACCAAGAAUGUCCCCACGGGCUGCAGUAGCUGUUCUGAGAGCAGGUGGGCUAAGCAGGGCUGGGGGCAAAAUAUGAGGGUCUUUCUACUGUUUUGUUUGGGGUGGACAGAGAUCUUGGGCAGCAUUUAGUCACGCUUCCUUCUCAGUGGGGAUGGCCCAUAAGCUGAUGGGAGCACUUAAUGGGGGGGGGCUCUGUCAUCACUGGACUUCCCAGUAGACAUCUAGCCCAAUUCUCUUGAACUGACCUGCUAUCCCUAGAGUAGGGUGACUUCUCAGGAUUUCAGGUCCUGCAUGGCAGUCUCCCAAGACUCCCAUGGCAAUUGUAAGGAUUGGGAGUGUGAAGACCCAAGACUGACAGGGAAUGGCACCCAGCCUUCAGAUGGCAGAGUUUUACCUUCCAAGAACAGCAUCUCCAGGAUUUGGUCCUAGUCAGGGUAGCCAGUGAUCCAGUCCCCACAGGGAAUUCGCAGCCUCUCUCUAGGAUUAGACUUUGCGUGGUACUGACAAUGCUUGUCAUGAGUGUGAAGAAGAACAGAAGCAGUGGGAGGUUUUGUUGCAGAUGGACAAGGGACUUGGGUUAACACGGAGCAGAAAGUGAGUUGUCAGACACGGAGAAGCAGGUAGUUAGUGUCAGGAAAUGAGAGGAUGAGACUGGCCCAUGCGCAGAGCAGUACACAGGUCUCAGGCGGGGAGGCUCUGAAGCAAGGGCCACCUGCAGAUACUAUUGGAGCACUUCAAAUGUGAUUCUUCAGGGUAGGUAGUGGCACAUGAUAGGAUGGCACAUGAUAGGAUGGUGACGGGUGCAAGGACUUGGGUUCUGAUUGGAGACCAGAUGAGGAUCUGUGCAAGCAGUGUCAAGGGCACAGAGGGUGACAUCAAACGCAGUGUGUACCCACAGGAGUGUGCAGCCCAGCAGGUGCAGCCCGGCAUGGUUCCAGGCAGUCACUGUUUUUUUCCACAUCUUGAGAUCGUGCCAUUGUCCUGGUCCCAGGUGUAUAAACUGGAGAGUUCCUAGCCGUGGUCCUUGGUGUCUUUACAGGGUUACAGGGCACAGUCUGUCAGAAGAGGAAACUGAGGCACUGUUUCGUAAAGAGCCUGGUAGGAGAUGCCCUGGGGUCACUGUAGAGCCAGGUGCAAGUGUUCACAGACUAGGUUGGCUCCUAAACUGGGGUGCUGUCCUUUGUCUUUGAAGUGAGGAGGGUAGAUCUAUGGAGGAGAGGUCUAUGGACAGCUGUUUAAAUCUCGGCUCUGUAGGUGUGGGUUAGGGGGAGUAGAGGGAGGAAGAGGUGAUCCGGAGUUUGCAGUGACUACAACUUUCCUGCAGGUCAUUGCUACACAGGGAACUGAAGGAGAGAUAAGGAUUCCACAGGUUGAGACAGACAGAGGCCUGAUCCUUCAACGCUGUGAGAGAGGGGCAGGGGAGAAACAGACUCAACACUGGGACAGGAAGCCAGGAUUUAUGUUACGCUGGGUCAGACAGGCCACAGGGCACUGGAGAGGCCCAUGCACACAGCUUCUAGGUAGUGCCACUGAUUUUAUUUUGAUGGUUUAUUUAUUUAUAUUUUAUUAUAUUUUGAGACAAGAUCUUGUCAUGUAGCCCAGGCCAGUCUUGAGUUCAUGUCUACAUGGUAAGAGCACCUUUGCAAGAGACGAUGUUCUGAGACAGUCCACACUGGGAUGGGAGAAGACCGUCCGCCUCCUGUGGUGCUGUCUAUCCUGAGGUCCUCCUGACCCUUGUCCCCUGUUCCUCUGGUUCCUCUCUUUGACUUUAAGAAAAGCAGGGUGAAUGGUCAGAGUGGACACAGACGGCUUUGUGUCCACAGAUGGAGUAACUUUUGCUGCCAUUCAGCCAUGACAAGUUCUUAUGUUCCAGGGUAGGGGUGUGUGGAUUAGGAAUGUUAGGUAGGAGGAACAGAGAUGUGAAAGAAAUACAGAGACAUAGGAUAGUACCAGGAGGGCAACUAAGUGAAUAUUGAAUAUUGAAUUCGCCUGUGUUUAAUUUUCAUAUACUUUUAUACCCCUAUACAGAAGUGGGGGAAGAAGGCAAAAGACAGCUUUACCAUGACACAAAGGACAACCAGAACAGUUGCUUGCUUCAGUACUUGAGACAUCAAGCCAUUAUUUCCUGAAUAAAGCAUUUUGGGGCAGGAAUAUGCAGUGAACACACCUUAGACCAAGUAUCCUGUAGGCAGCCACUCCCAAUAUCAAAUCCUCCUAUUUUAAAAGAAGGAGCACAGGAAUAGGCUUGAAUUCUCCGACCUUUGGUCAGGGUGGAGCAGAUCCAUCUCUAUGGGCCAUCUUGAUGUCCAAAACACCAAGCAACCACACCUGACGUCAACAGCUUUGAAAGAGCAAGCAUAAGCUCAAACUCUCUGACUUCCAGUCAAGGUGGAACAGGCUCACAUCUGUGGGCCUGCGUGUGUGAAUGCAUGUGAGUGUGUGAAUGCGUGUGGGCAUGUGAAUGCAUGUGUAUGUGUGCAUGCCUGAGAGUGUGUGAGGGGAUAGGACUCACCAGCAGACCCGAGCGCAGGGUCAGAGAACUUCCAGGUGAGGUGGGGCCAGAGGAUGCUUCAGCCGGACUCCUGUCAGCCUUCACAGCUGGAACAGCAAUCCUGGUGGCACUCACUGAGGAGCCAAGAGCAGCCCCUGGAGGAGUAAGUAAACAGUGAAGGACCAGAGGGUUCCGUGGGAGGUGGAAGGAGUCAGGGAUGCUCCGUCGGAGCCAGCCUUAGAGUAUGAGACGAGAGAAAAACGGAAGAGGGGGCUCCUCUGUGCCUGCGUGGCCCUGACCUCCACCCCUUACUUGAUGCACAUAUCUCUAACUCUGUCCCUUGAAUCCUGUCAUCUCGAAGCCACUGCCAUAGACUGCAAAUUUCAAAUAGAGCAACCAAGGGUGAACACAAGGACCAAUGUGGCCAAUAACAUGCUUUGCAGUGUAUGGACGGUGCAUGUCCAAUAUCCCAAAGCAAGUCCGGAAAACAGUGGCCAUGUCAGGGAGGUGGGGAGGAGAGUCAUAGACUCACGGAAGGAGGCAGGAAGUGCAGGCAGCAUGGGUUUAGACAAGAUGCAAACCCUGCUUCUACUUCCAGGUGCUGCCUUGGCAUACCCUGGAAAGCUGUGGAAUACACAAGGCCAGGCCUCAGACAACAGAGGUUCAUGACUGCCUGGCUCCUGGCUGACCUCACUCCUUCUGCUCGCUUCUCAACGACAGGGGGCUGGGACUGAGGACACGACAGGAAGUUAUGGAGGAAAACAUGUGCCUGAAGAACCACUGCGAGCAGCCAGCAUGAGCUGGGGUCCCCGGAGCCUUCUGAACUGGGGCAGUGAAAGGCUCCCCUAGACUUUACCAGUUUGGAUGUCAGUUCUGCCUGUUCCUUGUCAUGUGACAUGGAACUUUCCUGGGAGUGGGUUGGAGUGCAGUUUGUAUGUAUAAAUGGAGAGCUACAGUACCCAUUUACUAAAUUGCAUCAUUAUUGCUUGUGCUUCUAUUUCAAGCUGAAGCAGAGGGUUAGAAAGUUCAAUCUGAGGCCAGAUAAGCCACUGGAUGGAAAAUGAGUGUAGGGUCAUGGGACCUGGGAAGGGCCGCAGUGUGAGAAAAACAGCUCCUGGGGAGCAGAUCCAACUCAGGUCUCAGCCACCACCUUGUGUGCGGCAACCAAGAAGCCCCUUUGCUUUUCUCUUCCUUUCUUUCCUCUUUACUUUUAUUAGCCUUUUUCAUGGUUGGGGACUGAAUAACCUAGGACACGGCACACGGCCUCUGCCACAGAGCUGUGUCUUAGCUCUUUCCAUUUUUAUUCAUUUUUAGACAGAGUCUUUUACUAACUCUCCCAAGUCAGUCUUGAACUAGUAAUCUUCCUGAUUCAGUCUCCCUACGAACUGGGAUUACAGGCCUGGCUAACAAUCUAAGUUUUCGACAACAACAACAAAAAUCCUUCCACGAUCAAGGUUAGGCUUGGCAUGUUCAAAAGUCCUUUUGCGAUCACCCAGAAGUUUCUCCCCUGCUUUUCCAAGCUAGUGGCCAUCUGCCUGCAAACAGGUAGACACCAUGGGGAAAGAAGGCCCAUAGAAACAGGCAGAGUGGCUGUUGGGCUCCCCUGGUUAGCCCUGUAGGUAGCAUGUCGUCUCACUGAACUUCCCCUUCACGCUCAGCAGAUGGCGACCGUGCGCUAGUGCUGCUGAUUCCUGGACGCCAUGGAAUUGUUUGCAAGGUAUCCAGCGCAGGUGCCUUCCUUCAGCUGGAUGUCGGAGCUUGGAGCCGGUCCUUGGACAAAGAGAUGCUGGGGAGGUAGCAUCUCCCUACCUUGGGUUCCUCAUUCUUCAUCUCUGCACCCGCAUGGAGGGGUGUCUGAAGUUCCAGGAGGAGACAAGCCUGGAGAAAGAAGAGCCCAAGAAUGGACAUAGUUCCCUUCUCCCUCUCAAGGUUUGUGGGAGUGUGCCCAGUUGUGAGGGAAACAUCUCCAUCCUCCGACUGGUGAGAAGACCCUGUUAGCUCCAGGAUCCUGAGUGGAACCCUCAGUUAUGCUUUGAGCUACAGUCGUGUUGGUACAUGAUCCUGAACAGGCCUUUCUCAUCCCAGCGUCUUCCUUGGUCUUCCUACAUGUUGGAGUCUCGGAUUAGCCUAUGGCCGUCACUGCUCACUCUUUCUGCUAUCUCUUCACCAAGUGCCCUUCACAGAUGACUUUCAAAGCAACCAUGUUGGUCUCACCAUCCUUCUCUUCAGCUUCCACCAGAAGACGGUUCCCAAGGGACACGGGAAGAGGCUGACUAAGGACGGAGGUGUCUCCAUGGAGACCUGGGUAGAGCAGCUCUCAGCUCAGCAGACCCCGCCCCAGAGCUGCGGAUCAUCGGGCUCAUCCAGUGAAAGGGGAAUCUCUUCCCUUCUGGAGUUCAGGAGGAAUGCAGUGGAACCAGGCUUCCUACCCACUGCUCGCAGUAGCUAUUUGUGUACCUCCUGCCUCUACUAGAUAGAGUCCCCUAAUGGAAGGGACUGUCGUCUUUUCAUUGGCCACUGCACUGCUCAUCGACUUCAUUGCAACAAAUGUGCCUCUAAGAUUUGGCGUCUGCAAAUGGUGGUCAUGGCCACUGGUAAAGAACAGUCCUGGGUGUGGACACAGUCAAGGAUGCCUUGCUAUCUGGCUUUUGGGAAACUUACGUGGUUUCCAAUGUGGCUGUCAACAGUUACCCCCUCCCCCACAUAGCUUUGGGCUCACCACCCUCUGCACAUGUGUCCCUGGAGCUGUAUGAUUCCAUAGUACAUGGUCAGGGGGACAGAAAGGGACAUAUGAAUGGAUCAGAAUUGUUUUGUCAACCUGUGGGUUUUCUGCUUUGUUCAAUUGUUUCUUUUAUAAAUAUCAGCAAAUAAAAUCAUCUAAGAUUGAUGCUUCUCCCGUCUCAGUGGGAGACACUAGGAACUCUGAAUGAAAAUUGUGUAACAAGCCUCUACCGAGGAAUAACGGGACUGGUGAGAAAUGGUUGAUCUUCAUUUAGUUCACACAUAGAAGUCUCCUGACACACACCCCGUGA
Alexandromys fortis (reed vole) is the source of this 6065-nucleotide long non-coding RNA. RefSeq lists it as uncharacterized. The record is from RefSeq and is a predicted model, not a curated record. The transcript has 7 exons. NCBI's taxonomy places the organism in Eukaryota, Metazoa, Chordata, Mammalia, Rodentia, Cricetidae.